GACCGGAAAGAUGGUGAACUAUGCCUGAUCAGGUUAGGGGAAAUCCUGAUGGAGGAACUAAGCAAUUGUGACGUGCAAAUUAUUUUUCACAGAUAGAAAUAGAGACGAAAGACCAAUUUAGUAGUUGG
RNAcentral lists this non-coding RNA (128 nucleotides) under Anopheles minimus. RNAcentral describes it as "eukaryotic large subunit ribosomal RNA". It matches the Rfam family "Eukaryotic large subunit ribosomal RNA", at positions 813 to 954 of the family's 3401-position model. Lineage: Eukaryota; Metazoa; Arthropoda; Insecta; Diptera; Culicidae. The record is from RNAcentral.